Molecule: transfer RNA, 92 nt
Filed under: Kiritimatiellia bacterium
Lineage: Bacteria; Pseudomonadati; Kiritimatiellota; Kiritimatiellia
Description: Kiritimatiellae bacterium tRNA-Ser
Rfam family: tRNA
About the family: Transfer RNA (tRNA) molecules are approximately 80 nucleotides in length. Their secondary structure includes four short double-helical elements and three loops (D, anti-codon, and T loops).
Source: RNAcentral
GGAGGGGUGGCUGAGUGGUUGAAGGCGGCGGUCUUGAAAACCGUUGAGCCGUUCACACGGUUCCGUGGGUUCGAAUCCCACCCCCUCCGCCA